UGGUGGAGUGAUUUGUCUGCCUAAUCGCGAUAACGAACGAGACCUUAACCUGCUAAAUAGCCCGUAUUGCCCCGGCAGUACGCUGGCUUCUUAGAGGGACUAUCGGCUCAAGCCGAUGGAAGUUUGAGGCAAUAACA
This 137-nucleotide ribosomal RNA is filed under the name uncultured eukaryote. RNAcentral's name for it is "partial 18S ribosomal RNA". It matches the Rfam family "Eukaryotic small subunit ribosomal RNA", at positions 1299 to 1458 of the family's 1831-position model. The record is from RNAcentral.